Molecule: long non-coding RNA, 1260 nt
Filed under: Struthio camelus australis
Lineage: Eukaryota; Metazoa; Chordata; Aves; Struthioniformes; Struthionidae
Description: lncRNA (ENSSCUG00000016391.1)
Source: RNAcentral
AGCCGUGUCCCGGGAACUGCCGCCUGCGGAUGAAAUAGGACCCUUCCACUCACGCUCCGUUCAAGAGCAUAAAAAAUAAUUACCGUGCUCACGGUAAAUACGAUGCAUUUGUCUUGAACGGUGUAAGUGAAAAGCGGUUCAUGUAGCUAAAUGUUUCAGAUUUGGAACCAGCUUUGCUGUUAAAAACCUUUGUGUCCAUCAAGGAAACUAAUUCGGUGAGUCAGGGUUAAGUGCAGCGACGGCUGCUGGGAAAAGCUGGCGUGCAAAGCCUCCCAGACCGAGCGUGAGACCGGCUGCAGGGAGACAAUGACAGAACUGGGCAGGAGUGACAGUGCAUAAAACAAACUGGCAAAUAUUUUAAAAGCUGAAAUUGAAUUUUUUUUAAAGUAAAUACCCUGCGGUAUAAACUGAAAAAACAGGUUUACCUUCACCCCUGGUUUGUGCCUCCAGCUGCAGAUCUGCGAUCAGGAGUGUGCUGCUUCCAUUUCCUCUCUUAUCUCCAUUUUCCUCUCUCUGUUGCGUUUCUGCCACCUGGAAGUUAGAGCGCUGGAUGACGGGAACUAGAUCAGGAUUUCAAAGACAUUUGGAGUGUAAUUCCCAGUGAUUUCAGAGCAAGUAAGGCACCUUUGGGACUGCAUUGUACCUGCUACCGAGGCGCUCAGAGCAUCCUUGGGGUCUGGUGUCCGGUGUGUUUGGCCAGGAACCUGCUUGCAGUUGGGUCCCACCACCUCCUGCACUUGCAGAGGAUCCUCAGGCUCCUGCAAACAGGAUUCCAGCUAUCUCUUCUGUGCUAUGUCAUCUUUGCAAGGGAAAAUGAGACAGCUGCAGGCCAAGGAGUCAUGGACUGCAGGAUUGCACCGCCUUUUCUGCACGCUCCCACACCGGGCACGGCAGUCUCGCAGCUCUGCCCCUGCUUGCGCUGGACGGGGCCAGCACCUCUCUGCUCGCCGCCUCUCGAACCCUGGGCUAGCGCCGGUCCGAUGGCUCGCGCCAACCUUCGCGUGCUGCCUGGAGAGACGCAGGGCUGGAGCAGAGCUGCUCGCAAGAAGUUCAGGCCUGUGGACCCUCGUAUUUGCUAAGGAUGCUGCUUUUUGGUUGAUUUCGUGCUGCACGCGUGGGAGCUGCAGGAGCCCUCUCCUCCGUGGGUGCUGUAGCAGUGAGCGACCGGACUCGGUUUCCCCUCGCUGUAGCCACGAGCAGCGCAUGCUUGCCAGCAUUUUCCACAUACACCAUAUUUUCAGCACAAAGCAGUGUUCUUAA